GUAAUUGCUAAGUUUGUUCUUAGGCCUAGCAGCCACCCCUAAGGGAUCAUUGCACCUGCAAAUCAUUCAGAAAAAAUUCACCCAGGAAUGAAUGGAAUGACUAAAGACACCAGUCACAAGGCUGCAGGAAUCACACAGGAAAGCAGCUACUGAGCAGAAGAAAGGAAGCAGACACAGGAAAACUACCCUGGAGUCCAUAGUCACAAGUCAUUCAAAGACAGGGUCUCAGGAAUCCCAAGACUGGCCUGAAUUCGCUACAGAUCUGAAGAUAACCUUGAACUUCUGUCCUUCCUGCUUUCAGCUCCUAAGUGCUAGAAUUACAGACGCGUACCACCAUGCCUGGUUUACA
Non-coding RNA from Peromyscus maniculatus bairdii (prairie deer mouse), 349 nucleotides. NCBI's taxonomy places the organism in Eukaryota, Metazoa, Chordata, Mammalia, Rodentia, Cricetidae. The record is from RefSeq and is a predicted model, not a curated record.